UCCCCGCGUGUGUGUGCCUAAUUUCAGAUGGUCUGCCAAAGACCCCUCCUGAGCGCCAGCCCUGGUCCCCCAAGAGGUCCCAUUUCCUCUCUGACAAGAUGAAAGAAAGGAUCAUGAAUCGAGAAAAACUCGCCAAACUGCAGGCACAAGUGCGCAUUGGUGGAAAAGGAACUGCUGGCAGAAAGAAGAAGGUGGUUCAUAGAACAGCCACAGCAGAUGAUAAAAAAAAACUUCAGUUCUCCUUAAAGAAAUUAGGGGUAAAUAAUAUUUCUGGUAUUGAAGAGGUGAAUAUGUUCACAAACCAAGGAACAGAGUGAUCCACUUUAACAAUCCUAAAGUUCAGGCAUCUCUGGCAGCCAACACUUUCACCAUUACCGGCCACGCUGAGACAAAGCAGCUGACGGAAAUGCUCCCCAGCAUCUUAAACCAGCUUGGCGCAGACAGUCUGACUAGUUUGAGAAGACUGGCUGAAGCUCUGCCCAAACUAUCUGUGGAUGGAAAAGCACCACUUGCUACUGGAGAGGAUGAUGAUGAUGAAGUUCCAGAUCUUGUGGAAAAUUUUGAUAAGGCAUCCAAAAAUGAGGCUAACUGA
Chrysochloris asiatica (Cape golden mole) is the source of this 592-nucleotide RNA transcript. It is a transcript of the gene named basic transcription factor 3 pseudogene, with no coding region annotated. The record is from RefSeq and is a predicted model, not a curated record. The transcript has a single exon. NCBI's taxonomy places the organism in Eukaryota, Metazoa, Chordata, Mammalia, Afrosoricida, Chrysochloridae.